Cherax quadricarinatus is the source of this 157-nucleotide non-coding RNA. The record is from RefSeq and is a predicted model, not a curated record. NCBI's taxonomy places the organism in Eukaryota, Metazoa, Arthropoda, Malacostraca, Decapoda, Parastacidae.
AUACUUACCCGGCCCGGGGAUACCUGAUCACGAAAGGGGGUUUUCCCCGGGCAGGCUCACCCUUGCACUCGGUUUGUGCCCCUGCGAUUAAACCCCCAAAAGUGGUUAAUCGAGUGCGAAAUUUUUUUUAGCAGGGGAUGCGUUGCGCUAUCCCCUU